ACUAAAUAAUUUUGGAAUUGAGCCUGACAGAACAUGUGAAACUUCUGGCCAUGCUGCAUAUAGAAGGUGUACAUUUUUGAAUGUUUCACAUUUAUGUAAUUAGCUGACAUACCCAGUUAGAUUGGGGGCUACUGCAUGUUUUGCCAUACGUGACGUUAUCACAUUUGUGCAUAAACGGUACUACUUUUUGUUUCCUUUGUUUCUGUGACUGUUUUAAUUUACUUUUUAGUGUGUCUC
Long non-coding RNA from Protopterus annectens (West African lungfish), 237 nucleotides. RefSeq lists it as uncharacterized. The transcript has 3 exons. The record is from RefSeq and is a predicted model, not a curated record. Lineage: Eukaryota; Metazoa; Chordata; Ceratodontiformes; Protopteridae.